UUGCACGUGCUUCAUCUCAGGUGGACUUAAUAACUGUCCCUCUCUUCCCAGCUCUGUGCAUUUUAAAGAGGAGUCUGGGGAUGUCUCUGCUGCUAAUGGUGGAUUUCAGUUGCCAGAGAGGAAAGAAAACAAACAUUUGCAGGAUGCUUGUGCUUUCCUUGCAAAUGUUCUUUAUUAAUCUUUGCAGAGGUAGAGUCCACUAUCCCCGUUUUACAGGCAAGGAAACUGGGAUUCAGGCCACACAACCGGUUAAUCCCAUCCUGAGCCACGGAAACUGGAGCUGGGAGUUUCACCACCUUAUCACCACCAGAGAGCCUCCAAGAUCCUCCUUCCCCUCCUUCUCUCUCCUACUUCUCCCACCUCCUCCUUUUUCUCCUAGCAGGAUUCUGACAAGUCCGGAGUACGUCCCCUCAUCAUCAGGGCAGGAGGUAACGUGCUGAAUUUAAUAGCAAAGCAAAUUUUGCUGGAGAAGAAAUGAGAUUUCUUUGUCAAGGUAGGUAGUAUGAUCGUUCCCAUUCUGCAGAUGACAACACUGAGGCACAGAGAGGACUGAAGCUUGUCCAAGCUCCCACAGCUGGAAAGUGGAGGUGCCAGUCUUUCAGCCCAGGCAGCCUGCACCAGCACCUAUCCUUUGAGAUUUGAAAGACGCUCCAGCUCUCCUACUUUCUUUUCUUUCUUUUUUUUUUAAGACAGUAUUUCUCUUGCUCUGUUACCCGGGCUGGAAUGCAGUGAUGUGAUUGUGGCUCACUGCAGCCUCAAACUCCUGGGCUCAAGCAAUCUUCCCACUCAUCUUCCAGAGUAGCAGGGACUACAGGUGUGUGCUACCAUACCUGGCUAAUUUUUUUAUUUUUAAUAAGUCAGGGUCUUGCCAUGUUGCCCAGGCUGACCUCAAACUCCUGGCCUCAAGCGAUCCUCCCACCUCAGCCUCCCAAAGUGCUGGGAUUACAGGCAUGAGGCACUAGGCCCGGGCUCUCCCACUUUCUUCACUACCUCCCUGAGCCUCAACUGCGUCAUCUGUAACAUGGGGCCAGUAAUCGUUGUCAACAUGAAGAGCUGUUGUUAGGAGCCAAUGAAAUAAAAAUAAAUUUAAAACAACUUAGUACAGAAAUAGCAUUCCCUUUGAAGCCUUGCUCUCUGCCUUCCAAAAUGGGAAGUGUCCCUUCUUAUCCGGCUGGUUGAGGACCUAUGACACAGAGGUGCUGUUCUAGGCACUGGGAAUAGAACAGUGAACAAAAUGAACAAAAAUCCCUGCCCUUGUGGAACUUACAAUUAGUGGGAGACAGACCAUAAACAAGACAAAUAAGUACAUUAUAACCUAUAUUAGAGAAGGUAAAUACAAUAGAACAAAACGAGGCAACAGAGGAGGGGUUGGAGCACUGAUUGGGAAGGGCUGCAGUUCAAACAGGGCAGUCUGAGUUGGUCUCACCAAGAAAGUGACUUGAAGGAAGCAAAAGAGUGAGCAAAUAUUCAGGAUAACAGCACUGCUCAGGAAGAGGAAACAGCAGUGCAAAGGCUCUGAGGUGGGACUGCACUGUUCGUGUUACAGGAACAGUAAGGAGGCCAGAGUAGCUGUGUUAGCAAAGGUAGCAUAGUAGGAAUUGGAGUCACAAAUUCCAGAGGAAGUGCAGCUAGUGUAGGGUCUUGAUGGUCUUUGUAAGGACUUUUAGCUUUUAUCUGAAUGAGACAAGAAUCUAUCAGAGGGUUUUAGGCAUGAUCUGAUUGAUGUUUUAAAGGUAUAGCUGGGACAGCGGUAUUGAGACUAGACUAUAGGGGGCCAAGGGCAGAAGCAGAGAGGAGAGUUAGGAAGCUAUUGCAAAAACCCAGGUGAGAGUAGGUGGCAGCUUAGUUCAGGGAGGUAGUGACACAGAUGAUGCUGAAGUCUGAUUCUGGAUGUAUUGCGAAAGGGAAAGCCCCCAGGAUGAGCUGAUCAUCAAAAGUGAGGAAUGGGAGAAAGAAGCAAUCACCGCGGAUGAUUCUGAGGAUUUUACCCCUUCCACCUCUCAAUUCCUGAAGACCCAUCCCUUCCUUUUAAAAUCCAACUCUGGCCGGGCAUGCUGGCUCACGCCUGUAAUCCCAGCACUUUGGAAGGCCAAGACGGGCAGAUCACGAGGUCAAGAGAUCGAGACCAUCCUGGCCAAUGUGGUGAAACCCCAUCUUUACCAAAAAUACAAAAAUUAGCCGGGCGCGGUGGUGCACACCUGUAGUCCCAGCUACUCAGGAGGCUGGGGCAGGAGAAUCACUAGAAGCUGGGAGGCAGAGGUUGCAGUAGCCGAGGUUGAGCCAUUGCAUUCCAGCCUGGCGACAGAGCAAGGCUCCGUCUCAAAAAAAAAAAAAAAAAAAAUUCCAGCCCCCUCUCUCGGGGCUCUAUUGGAGAUCCACUGCUUUCAUCCCUCUCUCUUUCCAUUGUCCAGGCAUUUGCCUUACAGAGCCCAGGGCAGAGGACCCUGGUCAAACAACUUGACCCAGGGUAUAAAUCUGCCUCAUGGCCUUCUGGGGCUCCCCCAGUCCUUACCCUGGCUCAGAAGGUCCCAUCACAGUCUGCCGUCCACCUCAGCAGCCCCUCAAGGUCCCUUGCUCCUCCUGACUGCAGUACCCCUUUUCUCGCUCCCUGGAACUGCCUCUGCUCUUCUAUCUCACACAGCUGCCCACCAUGCUGCCCUCAGGUCUCAGUGGGAGCAUCACCACCCCUGGGAAACCUUCCCUGACCUGCUAUUCUGGAGGAAGCCCCUGAUUCCAGGCUCUCAAGCCCUGAGCCUCUACCACAGGGUUGCGUGUCUCUUUCCUUGUGUGAUUAUUUGAUGAAAGCCUGUCUCCCCACGUGACUAUAACCUCCAUAAAGGCAGGGCCCACCUGUAUCGCUAGAAGCAGACAAUUCACCAAAAGAGACAUUCAGUGGAUCUGACUUGGAUCCUUAGGCUUUUGGUAAAUUAACUUUCAUUGACCUAAAGCCUCCAGCUGCUAGGUAAAUGUCUGGCACAUAGCAGGUACUUCACAUAUAUUUAUUGAAGGAAUGAAUCAGAGUUCUCUAAGAUCUUGGGCAUGUGACAAACUUCCUGAGCCUCAGUUUCCCCAUAUGUAAGGAUGGGAAUAAGAAUACCUAUCUCAUGAGUCAUUGUGAGAAUUAAAAAACCUACGGCAUGAGCAAUGCCUCACACUAGUAGAUGCUCAAUAAUUGUUCCAAUGCAUGUUCAGACAAUUACCACCUUACAACUCCCCUGUGCUUCCCCUCCCCUCCCCCACUCCCUCUCAUCCCUCCUUCCAUUCUCCAGCCUCCUCCCCUCCCCACCCUUCCCCUCCUAAGGACUCCCAGAUGUGGAAUCACCAAAGCCUCUGAACGUUCCCCUUCUCCCCCAAGAUCCCCCAAUGCGCCACUGGUUACAUAUUGAUCCUGUUUAACUUUCCCAAUGGAUGAUAAACAUGAAAUUAAAAUGACUUCCUGGAAUAUUAAUGUAGUAAAUGGCCCUAUUAAAAGAAAGAAAAUACAGCUGAGAAAAUUCGCUUUGAUGUAGCGUUUCUGCAGGAGGCUCAUUUAUCUGCAGCUCAGACUCUCAAAAUGAGAUUCUGAAGGUUUCUCUGAUGUCUCUUAUUUUUCCCUCACCCAGAAUUUAAACAGAAAAUAGAAUCACAAGCUAGUGUCAUAAAACGUGGGCCUUUUCCCUUCUCCACCAAAAAGCAAAUGAAAACAGGGCCAGGUUGAUGUCAGUCUCUGCAAACAUGGGGCUGAGGACUCACCUGCUCCUCCCAAUCUCCUCUGUAUCUUGCUCACUGGGGCCUGGUCCAGGCUGCCAGGCCGGCUGCCUAGAUUCAGCAGGGGUUCCCAGAAGCCUGUGCUGCUACUGCUGCUGCUGAAGUUAGGAAAGUUGCCUCAGAGCUGGGUGCAGUGGCUCACGUCUGUAAUCCCAACACUUUGGGAGCCUGAGGCAGGUGGAUUAUCUGAGGUCAGGAGUUCGAGACCAGCCUGACCAACAUGGUGAAACCCUGUCUCUACUAAAAAUACAAAAAAAAAAAAAGCUGGGCCUGGUGGCAGGUGCCUGUAAUCCCAGCUACUCAGGAGGCUGAGG
This 4061-nucleotide long non-coding RNA is filed under the name Homo sapiens (human). RNAcentral's name for it is "HSALNT0095461". The record is from RNAcentral. Lineage: Eukaryota; Metazoa; Chordata; Mammalia; Primates; Hominidae.